This 589-nucleotide ribosomal RNA is filed under the name uncultured bacterium. Its description in RNAcentral is "bacterial SSU rRNA". It matches the Rfam family "Bacterial small subunit ribosomal RNA", at positions 197 to 783 of the family's 1533-position model. The record is from RNAcentral.
CGGGCGCAAGCUCGCACCUGAAGAUGAGCCUGCGCAGCAUUAGCUAGUUGGUGAGGUAACGGCUCACCAAGGCGACGAUGCUUAGCUGGUCUGAGAGGAUGAUCAGCCACACUGGAACUGAAACACGGUCCAGACACCUACGGGUGGCAGCAGUGGGGAAUCUUGCGCAAUGGACGAAAGUCUGACGCAGCGACGCCGCGUGGGCGAUGAAGGCCUUCGGGUCGUAAAGCCCUGUCAGCAGGGAGUAAGGUCGGUGACCUAACACGUCAUCGAAUUGAACGUACCUGCAGAGGAAGCACCGGCUAACUCUGUGCCAGCAGCCGCGGUAAUACAGAGGGUGCAAGCGUUGUUCGAAAUCAUUGGGCGUAAAGCGCAUGUAGGCGGCGCGACAAGUCUGAUGUGAAAUUCCUCGGCUCAACCGGGGAGGGUCAUUGGAUACUGUCGUGCUCGAGUGCCGGAGAGGGUGAUAGAAUUCCUGGUGUAGUGGUGAAAUACGUUGAUAUCAGGAGGAAUACCAGAGGCGAAGGCGGUCACCUGGACGGUCACUGACGCUGAGAUGCGAAGGUAUGGGUAGCAAACAGGAUUAGAU